CGAAAGGUGUGAAAAGGGAAAAUAAAUUUCAUUGACGAGUAUAUUUGUUGUUUGUUGAAUUCUAUUUAGAUGUUUUUCACUUUUUUUUUUU
Molecule: non-coding RNA, 91 nt
Filed under: Platyophrya macrostoma
Lineage: Eukaryota; Ciliophora; Colpodea; Cyrtolophosidida; Platyophryidae
Source: RNAcentral